This 292-nucleotide ribosomal RNA is filed under the name uncultured bacterium. RNAcentral describes it as "partial 16S ribosomal RNA". It matches the Rfam family "Bacterial small subunit ribosomal RNA", at positions 505 to 796 of the family's 1533-position model. The record is from RNAcentral.
GUGUCAGCCGCCGCGGUAAUACGGAGGGGGCGAGCGUUAUUCGGAAUUAUUGGGCGUAAAGGGCGCGUAGGCGGCUUGACAAGUCAAAGGUGAAAUCCCUCGGCUCAACUGAGGAACUGCCUUUGAAACUGUCUGGCUUGAGGCCGGGAGAGGGUAGCGGAAUUCCCAGUGUAGCGGUGAAAUGCGUAGAUACUGGGAGGAACACCGGUGGCGAAGGCGGCUACCUGGACCGGUUCUGACGCUGAGGCGCGAAAGCGUGGGUAGCAAACAGGAUUAGAUACCCUUGUAGUCC